RNAcentral lists this long non-coding RNA (1960 nucleotides) under Homo sapiens (human). RNAcentral describes it as "HSALNT0381199". The record is from RNAcentral. Lineage: Eukaryota; Metazoa; Chordata; Mammalia; Primates; Hominidae.
AAUCCGGAUGUCAUUGGUUGGAUCCACCAUCAUCGAAUCACUCUCCUGGGGAAACAAAUUAUUAAGUGCUUAGAGAUACAGCUUUUUGCAUAAGAAUGACUAGUUAUUUCUGUGUGUCAAGGGGAAUCCUAGCAGAAUAAAAACGGAUGGUUUACAAUGUAAAUCCUGAAAGUUAAGUGGUGUCCUAUGUAAGACCAGAUGACACAAACCUGAUAAUGCAUCUCUUGAAGCGUUUGGGGUGAGCCCCGAGGCCUGGGUGCAGGAGUGGUUUACUGAGUGGCAAUCAUCAGCAAUGCCAUCUGGGGCAUUGGAGAAGACCCAUGCUGAGAGGACCUGCGAGAGAGCCAGUGGGUCUCAUCCAAGGCUGGUCUCAAACUCCUGGCCUCAAGUCAUCCUCCUACCUCAGCCUCCCAAGUAGCUGGGACUACAGGCUUGCACUAUUGCACCUGACAGAAUUCCAUCUUUGGAGAAGUUAUAGACACCUAUAAACAUGAUAAUUGGCCUACAAUUCCAAGCUGUCAAGAUAACUAGAGAUUAAAUGUUCAUCCUUCCAGGCCCCCAGCCAAUGAACCUAAGAUGGGUAGAAGAUAACUGUUUUUCCUCUCCUACAAUACCCUCUCUAAUGGAGGCCGACCCAGAAUUCAGGGAGAGGGCUGUGGAGUCACAGCCACUGAACUCACCCUGGCUCCAUCCAGAAUGCUCUGGUCUGGGCUGUUUGGUAAGCUCCCCUAUGUAAAGUGAAUGCUCCAUAGUUGUUGGCAGGCUCUCUCGUUCCAAGUAUGGUUAGAAGGGUAGUCAGCCACGAGAGGCUGUGAUCUCUCUGGCCAUGCUCAAGGAGAAGGGAAAGUGGAAGGAGGUUAAGGGCAGCAGUGGGAAUGAGUCAAGGUAUUAAAGGCUGGUUCUUUUGAAGCUCUUGGCCAUACCCUGUCUCUAACAGCAGCCUCUAGGCUUUUUUGCAGGUUAAGGUGGAGUGGGAAGAAGCUAACUAAGCACAGGCUGCAAACUUGGACCAUAUUGCUUUAGACCCUGUAGACUCUUAAAAGCUUGGGGUUGUAAAAAAUAGUUGGACCAAAUUCUUCAUAUCUAUUGCAGGGAUACUGUGGUGAGCAGUGCCUCUGUAUCACUAUGUGGCUUCAGGUCCUUGUGCCACUAAAGGUGAUUUAUUCUGCACUUGUUUUGCUCCUGACUUUGUUUUGAAGAAGCUUGAUAGAAAAUGUUUAGCAUACCCCAGAAACUCUACAGGACCAUAUAAUUUGCAUUUCAUAACACUAAACCUACUCCAACCUUAUUAUUUCCUCACUGUUAUUUUCCUUUUGACUCUAGUUUUUUCAACAAUUCUUAAUUCAUCCUUUUGCAUUGUAUAUAUUUCUCCAAACCAUUUGAAAUCUUGGAACAAAGUUUUAUACUUUUGAACAGCAAGGGAUUUGCUUCUCUCUCAUAAUCAAACAUAAAAUCCCAGGGUAGAAGGCAGCUUGGAGAACAUUCAGUUCAUUGUUUUCUGAAAUUGUGGUUCUUGAACCACCUGCUUCAGGAAAUGCCUGGGGUGCUUAUUAAAAAUGCUCAGACCUACUGAAUUUGGAUCUUUAAAAGUAAAUCCCAGGAUUCUGCAGUUUCCUAACCUAACUUCCCAGAUAAUUCUUAUGCAUCCCUCAGUAAGACAACUAAGCUACCCUCAGCCUAUUUCAACUUGUGUCUGCCUGUUCAGAAAGGUACUUUAGCUUUAUCUUCAAAGAAUUCAUUGGGUAGGAAUUAACCUGCUCCUUAAUAUUUAGAAAAGAAAGGGAAACACCGAAUGUAAGUGACUUGCUUCAGGUCAUACCGGCUUUCACACCUAACUUCCUUGCUUGAUGGUUAAAUUUAUUGGAAACCAUCUUGCCCCAGCAAGGUCUCCAAGAUAGAGAAGAACAACUAGACAGCAUUAGCAGCUCAUUCAGCCCUUUGCUUUUGGGAACAAGACAGC